Molecule: ribosomal RNA, 1215 nt
Filed under: metagenome
Description: bacterial SSU rRNA
Rfam family: Bacterial small subunit ribosomal RNA
Source: RNAcentral
GGAUGAUCAGCCACACUGGAACUGACACACGGUCCAGACUCCUACGGGAGGCAGCAGUGAGGAAUUUUGCGCAAUGGGGGCAACCCUGACGCAGCAACGCCGCGUGAGUGAUGAAGGCUUUUGGGUCGUAAAGCUCUGUCAGCAGGGAAGAACGGGUUUUGUAUUAAUAGUAUAAGACUUUGACGGUACCUGCAAAGGAAGCACCGGCUAACUCCGUGCCAGCAGCCGCGGUAACACGGGGGGUGCAAGCGUUAUUCGGAAUUAUUGGGCGUAAAGCGCACGCAGGCGGUGUGGUCAGUCAGAUGUGAAAGCCCGGGGCUCAACCCCGGAAGUGCAUUUGAAACAGCCACACUUGAGUACUGGAGAGGAAAGGGGAACUCCUGGUGUUGAGGUGAAAUUCGUAGAUAUCAGGAGGAACACCGGUGGCGAAGGCGCCUUUCUGGACAGAUACUGACGCCGAGGUGCGAAGGUGUGGGUAGCGAACAGGAUUAGAUACCCUGGUAGUCCACACAGUAAACGUUGUUCACUAGGUGUAGCGGGUAUUAACUCCUGCUGUGCCGCAGCUAACGCAUUAAGUGAACCGCCUGGGGAGUACGGUCGCAAGACUAAAAACUCAAAGGAAUUGACGGGGGCCCGCACAAGCGGUGGAGCAUGUGGUUUAAUUCGAUGCAACGCGCAGAACCUUACCUAGGCUUGACAUCUUGAGAAUCUCCUAGAGACAGGAGAGUGCCCUUCGGGGAAUUCAAAGACAGGUGCUGCAUGGCUGUCGUCAGCUCGUGUCGUGAGAUGUUCGGUUAAGUCCGGCAACGAGCGCAACCCUUGUCUUCAGUUGCCAGCACGUCAUGGUGGGAACUCUGAAGAUACUGCCCCGGUUAACGGGGAGGAAGGUGGGGAUGACGUCAAGUCCUCAUGGCCCUUAUGCCUAGGGCUACACACGUGCUACAAUGGCAGGUACAAAGAGCAGCGAGCUAGUGAUAGUUAGCGAAUCUCGUAAAGCCUGCCUCAGUUCGGAUUGGAGUCUGCAACUCGACUCCAUGAAGUUGGAAUCGCUAGUAAUCGCGGAUCAGCAUGCCGCGGUGAAUACGUUCCCGGGCCUUGUACACACCGCCCGUCACACCAUGAGAGUUGAUUGUACCGGAAGUCGUUGGGCUAACCCUUCGGGGAGGCAGACGCCCAUGGUAUGGUUGAUAAUUAGGGUGAAGUCGUAACAAGGUA